Molecule: ribosomal RNA, 253 nt
Filed under: uncultured bacterium
Lineage: Bacteria
Description: partial 16S ribosomal RNA
Rfam family: Bacterial small subunit ribosomal RNA
Source: RNAcentral
UACAGAGGGUGCGAGCGUUGUCCGGAAUCACUGGGCGUAAAGGGCGCGUAGGCGGCUUGAUAAGCGUGCGGUGAAAGCCCGGGGCUCAACCCCGGGUCGGCCGUGCGAACUGUCGAGCUGGAGCACUGUAGAGGCAGGUGGAAUUCCGGGUGUAGCGGUGGAAUGCGUAGAGAUCCGGAAGAACACCGGUGGCGAAGGCGGCUUUCUGGUCUGUAACUGACGCUGAGGCGCGAAAGCGUGGGGAGCAAACAGG